GAUGAAGAACGCAGCGAAAUGCGAUAAGUAAUGUGAAUUGCAGAAUUCAGUGAAUCAUCGAAUCUUUGAACGCACAUUGCGCCCGCCAGUAUUCUGGCGGGCAUGCCUGUCCGAGCGUCAUUUCAACCCUCGCGCCCAUCUGGGCUGCGGUGUUGGGGACCGGCCUGCCCCCCGGGGCGCGCCGCCCCCCAAAUUCAGUGGCGGUCUCGCUGCAGCCUCCCUUGCGUAGUAGCACACCUCGCACCGGAGCGCAGCGCGGCCACGCCGUAAAACCCCCGACCCCCAUGAGUUUGACCUCGGAUCUGGUAGGAAUACCCGCUGAACUUAAGCAUAUCAAUAAGCGGAGGA
This 348-nucleotide unclassified non-coding RNA is filed under the name soil metagenome. RNAcentral describes it as "partial contains 5.8S ribosomal RNA, internal transcribed spacer 2, and large subunit ribosomal RNA". The stretch from base 1 to 120 matches the Rfam family "5.8S ribosomal RNA", at positions 35 to 154 of the family's 154-position model. The record is from RNAcentral.